This 439-nucleotide ribosomal RNA is filed under the name uncultured bacterium. RNAcentral's name for it is "partial 16S ribosomal RNA". It matches the Rfam family "Bacterial small subunit ribosomal RNA", at positions 339 to 795 of the family's 1533-position model. The record is from RNAcentral.
CUACGGGGGGCUGCAGUGGGGAAUAUUGGACAAUGGGCGCAAGCCUGAUCCAGCAAUGCCGCGUGAGUGAAGACGGCCUUAGGGUUGUAAAACUCUUUCGCUAGGGAAGAUAAUGACUGUACCUAGUAAAGAAGUCCCGGCUAACUCCGUGCCAGCAGCCGCGGUAAUACGGAGGGGACUAGCGUUGUUCGGAAUUACUGGGCGUAAAGAGUUCGUAGGCGGACUGACAAGUUAGAGGUGAAAUCCCAGGGCUCAACCCUGGAACUGCCUUUAAAACUGUCAGUCUAGAGACCGGAAGAGGUUAGGGGAAUACCUAGUGUAGAGGUGAAAUUCGUAGAUAUUAGGUGGAACACCAGUGGCGAAGGCGCCUAACUGGUCCGGUACUGACGCUGAGGAACGAAAGCGUGGGGAGCAAACAGGAUUAGAUACCCCAGUAGUC